This 292-nucleotide ribosomal RNA is filed under the name uncultured bacterium. RNAcentral's name for it is "partial 16S ribosomal RNA". It matches the Rfam family "Bacterial small subunit ribosomal RNA", at positions 505 to 796 of the family's 1533-position model. The record is from RNAcentral.
UUUUCAGCAGCCGCGGUAAGACAGAGGGUGCAAACGUUGUUCGGAAUUACUGGGCGUAAAGCGCGUGUAGGCGGCUUGGCAAGUCGGGUGUGAAAGCCCUGGGCUCAACCUAGGAAGUGCACUCGAAACUGCUUCGCUUGAAUGCCGGAGAGGAAAGCGGAAUUCUCGGUGUAGAGGUGAAAUUCGUAGAUAUCGAGAGGAACACCGGUGGCGAAGGCGGCUUUCUGGACGGUGAUUGACGCUGAGACGCGAAAGCGUGGGGAGCAAACAGGAUUAGAAACCCUAGUAGUCC